AUUGAACGCUGGCGGCAGGCCUAACACAUGCAAGUCGAGCGGAUGAAGGGAGCUUGCUCCUGGAUUCAGCGGCGGACGGGUGAGUAAUGCCUAGGAAUCUGCCUGGUAGUGGGGGAUAACGUCCGGAAACGGGCGCUAAUACCGCAUACGUCCUGAGGGAGAAAGUGGGGGAUCUUCGGACAUCACGCUAUCAGAUGAGCCUAGGUCGGAUUAGCUAGUUGGUGGGGUAAAGGCCUACCAAGGCGACGAUCCGUAACUGGUCUGAGAGGAUGAUCAGUCACACUGGAACUGAGACACGGUCCAGACUCCUACGGGAGGCAGCAGUGGGGAAUAUUGGACAAUGGGCGAAAGCCUGAUCCAGCCAUGCCGCGUGUGUGAAGAAGGUCUUCGGAUUGUAAAGCACCUUAAGUUGGGAGGAAGGGCAGUAAGUUAAUACCUUGCUGUUUUGACGUUACCAACAGAAUAAGCACCGGCUAACUUCGUG
Molecule: ribosomal RNA, 484 nt
Filed under: uncultured bacterium
Lineage: Bacteria
Description: partial 16S ribosomal RNA
Rfam family: Bacterial small subunit ribosomal RNA
Source: RNAcentral